CAUGCCAGCAUCAUUGUGCCUAUUUUACAAAAAGGGAAACUGAAGCUUAUGAAAAAGGUGAUAUCUAACUCCAAAGCUCAAGCUCUUGCUUCUACUUCUGUACUUCUACUUCAACCUCUAUCCCAACUUCAUUCUGACACCCACGCCUUCUCCUAUCUAGACCCCUGAACGUGUCUCCUGUCCCACCCCUCUACACUCCGUGCAUGACUGUACAAGGCUGUAGUCUAUACGACUAUACCAUCUUAUUCAACCUGCUUUUACAUUGUGUGUAAAAGACAAGCUUGAACUCUGGUGCCCUUGAACAGAGCAUAAUUAGGAGACUAGAGAGAAGUGUUGGGGGGAGUCCAAAAAGGAGAGUGAGAAUAAAACGAUGGCUUGAGAGCGAUGACUUCUAAAAAACAGAGGAACAAUAGCAUGUGUGGCACUGAAGAUUCAGGAGAAAUGGGGGGGGAAAAGGCCGUGUUUUCUGAAUGGAAUGGGAGCCUGGAGGACUGGAUUCUGAGGAGCCUCCCAUUACCUCGGCUUGGGAGAGAACGGGUAGGUGUGAAGUGGACAAGGAAAACCAGGUGUCCUGGAGCACCGUGCAGGUAAGGUGUGCCCUGAGAAGGGGAGUGCUCAGCAGACCAAGGACAGGUAGAGGCACUGACAGAAAGGGCACAAGGCUGGAGUCUAGUGACAUCAUAUCCCCAGCAUUGGAAGAUCCUAAAUUCUAGGGUCACACAGGGAUAUCUGCAUGGAGAAUAAGGUGUUAUGAAUGGAUUAUUUUUACAUCUCAGACUUGUCAGGAUUUUAUUUUGGAGCUUGAUUCUUCCAUUUUCUUCUGUUUCUUCUGUCAUGUAUUCAUUUUCUCUGAUGUCAGGCAAGCGAGGACCUCUCUAGGAAAGGAAUAUACAAAUUGGCUUCCUGUCCAGGGAUUCAUACAUAUAUAGCCAUUAUUUUUUAAAAUAAAGAUUGUUCAGAAAGUUUAAAAGCACCUGCUCUUAAACUGGCCUGCAUGUGUGGUUGAGGACAGUUCCCAGAUGAAGGAGUCGUGCCGAAGGGGAGGAUCAUGGUGCAGGAGAGAGGCCUCUCGAAAAUCAGUAGGCAGGGGAUGGAGGUAAAAGGGUGCAUCUCGGAGCUGUUGGCUUGACUGGAGGAGGGUUUUGCUGGGAAGGCAGGCAUGGCUAUGGGGUUUAUAGAGGCUUAGGGUAGUGUUUGACUUCACCCCUUCUCACUGUGUGCUGGUGUGAGAGCCUCAAUUUCCUCUUUAAGUAGAGAUCAUAGUAACUUAUACAAAGCAACUGACCCAUGGUUGGGUGGAGACCAGCUACUCCACAAGAACAGGCUGGGCGCUGUGACUCACAAUUGUAAUGGCAGCACUUUGGGAGGCCAAGGUAGGAUGAUCGCUCAAGCCCUGGAGUUCGAGACCAGCCUGGGCAUUAUAGUGAGACCCUUUCUCUACAAAACAAUUGUUUUUUUUAAAGUAGUCAAGUGUGGUGGCAUGUGACUAUAGUCCCAGUUACUUGGGAGGCUGGGGUGAGAAGAUCACUUAAGCCUGGGUGGUGGAGGCUGCAGUGAGUCAUGAUUGUGUCACUAGACUCUAGAUUGAGUGACAGAGUGAGACCCUGCCUCAAAAAAAAAAAAAAAAAAAAA
RNAcentral lists this long non-coding RNA (1632 nucleotides) under Macaca fascicularis (crab-eating macaque). RNAcentral describes it as "lncRNA (ENSMFAG00000057509.1)". Lineage: Eukaryota; Metazoa; Chordata; Mammalia; Primates; Cercopithecidae. The record is from RNAcentral.